Pteronotus mesoamericanus is the source of this 852-nucleotide long non-coding RNA. RefSeq lists it as uncharacterized. The record is from RefSeq and is a predicted model, not a curated record. The transcript is spliced from 3 exons. NCBI's taxonomy places the organism in Eukaryota, Metazoa, Chordata, Mammalia, Chiroptera, Mormoopidae.
UCAGGACUGGAUGUAGAAUAUGGAACGGAAGAAUUAGGCGUGGAUACUGCAUUUUUACCUGAGCAACGGGUGAACAUUGGCGCUGUUGGCUAAGGCCUCUGGUGUUGGGGCGAGCGGGCUUGGACAGAGCAAAUGAGGUCUCUGUCGGGGUCCUUUCAGAGCUCACGAUGAGUGCUGAAACCAAAGAGCCCCAAGCAAGCGAGCGCCGAGUCCUGAAACAUUUUUUCCUUGAUGAGUACAGGGUUUGACGAGUUCUGAAGCUGACAAGUACCAAGCCAUUGAAUCUGUCUAAAGAAGAGGAAAAACCUCCGGUGCCAUCAAGAUGAUGAUAAUCCUCAGCAAUUUAUAUUCCAUUCAUUUUCUCCACAUAUUUUAGAAUUAUUCAUUUCCCAGCAUUCUGAAGUCCAGUUGUGCUGGAAGCUGAGAUGCAGUCAGAUUUUCUUCUUGCAAAGAGAACAAAAUGAAGUUAAAGAUAUAGAUCUGGAUCCUGGCAUCCCAACCUGAGAUAAUAGCACUUAAGGGCAUUUAUAAUUUUCACAAAGAAUGAAAUAAAAUUCUCAUCACAAAAUUUAUUUUCAUUUACUUAUGAAUAGAAUUAUAAACAAUUUAGAGGAGGUGAUUGUUAUGAAAUUAAACAAAACUAAUGGUUUUAGAUUCUUUAAUCAAUAUUCAGGUUUAGAAAAAUCUUUGCAGACUACUUACAUCUUUAUUGCUGACCUACAGAAGUUUGCGAUGCAGAGCUUGCACUAGUUAUAAAUACAUAUAAUUUUAUUGAUUCAUAUACACUACACCUACUGUCAGGAAGGGUCUGAGGUGAUUUACAAUAAAGGUACAAGAGUAAUAACCUGAAAC